GGUCUUAUAUUCAAUAAAGUGAUUAUAGAAUGCAAUUCUAUAGGAGUGAUAAUAAAGUAUGUUUCACUAAGGCUU
This 75-nucleotide transfer RNA is filed under the name Balta valida. Its description in RNAcentral is "tRNA-Cys". Lineage: Eukaryota; Metazoa; Arthropoda; Insecta; Blattodea; Pseudophyllodromiidae. The record is from RNAcentral.